AUAUGCGAAACAGCUCCACUGAGGUUGAAACUGCAAUCCUCGUGCGGGCUGCAACCUCCGAACCAAGUGAGAUUGAUGGUGGCAGCACUGAUAUCAUAGAAAUGCCCUCUAACAUUCCUCCCGGCUCCUUCUCAAUUCAAUGUCCUGAAAAAGAGGAAACCUCGUAUUUUACUUCUGAUCCUAGGAGAAGAUCUAAUGCAAAGAAGCACAAGAAGGACAAGAGCGCACCGGGUUGCAAGGAGAGGGACGCAAUAAUGUCCAACACCAAAGUUAAGACGCCAUACAUGAGAUUCUUAAGGAUGAGGAAACCACGUAACAUCAGCAAGAUCUCUUUCAUCGAGAAGUCCCCUGCUGACAGAGAGGCUACCAUGACUGAUCUCUCUGGGUACUCCAGCAGCAUGGAGCAUUCCUCGGAGGUGAAGGUGUGCACUGACUCUUCAAAGACAAAUAUGCAGCUGUUCCCUGACAUGGCACACGCUGUGCACAACAUCAUUCAUGAGAAGACCAUCAUCGACAGUUGUAACGCAACCACACAACUUCAGGGUAACAGCCAACAACAAACAAUCGGGAGGGAUUUUGUAGAAAACCUCAGUUUCUCGAAUUUGCAGGACGAGGUGACACUCAGACAUGGGUGCAGGUCCCAGAGUGCGACAGCACCAAUGCCUCCGAAGCAGUACACCAAGAAUAAUUCAUGGUUGCGCAAUUUCAAACUCACCAAG
Molecule: long non-coding RNA, 719 nt
Filed under: Physcomitrium patens
Lineage: Eukaryota; Viridiplantae; Streptophyta; Bryopsida; Funariales; Funariaceae
Description: long non-coding RNA (PPAT_LNC007228)
Source: RNAcentral